GUCCUCCUCACAGGGUGAGUUCUCUGACAAGGAAGUUUUGCAACCCAGUUUACAGCUGGAGCCAAGCUUGUCAGUGAGUGCCAGAGGGAAACUGUCGCAAUUGGCUGGCUAAGUAUGUUCAUUUAACAAGGGUCUCUGAAGAGCUAUCAAAAACUGCUUGCCAUCUUUCCAAAUCAUCUCUGUCUGCAGUGACCAUGUCUUAAUCCUGAAGGAAAACAAGACAUGGUAAUUAGAAACCAGGAAGACUGAGAAAGAAUCAGAUUUGCAGCAGCUCAGUAAGCGGUAGACCUGGAACAAGAAGCCAGUUUUCUGAGCUCCUGAAGCAAGGCCCCCCCUGCCACUUCGUCUUUCCCCAGGACAGGAGGUGUCAUCUACUACUUAGACCAGAAGAUAGGAUGCAAAAUCUCAACGGAGGAAUUUCUUACAGAAUGCAAUUGCACUAGAAAAGACAAUCUUGCUUGAAGAUGUGACUGACCUCAGACACAGGAAUUCAGACAUCUUACUGCCUGCCUCUUUGCCAUUAAGAAAACAGAUACUGGCUCCCCAAACCCACGAUUAAGAAAGAAGCUGGAAGAACUCUCAGAAUAGUUUUCAAGAUCAUGAGUGCCCUUGCCAAAACUCAGUGGAAAAGUCUCUAGAGAAACAGAGGUCAUAGAAGUUUAAAGAUACCUUGUUUGUAAUUCUAAUUUACCUGGAUUACAUGGAACAUGUUCAUAAGACAUCAUCUGUGUUUUCUGGUUUUGGCUACUCUCAAGUUAACAAGAAUGUAAAGCCAUCUGAGUGGAUAUUUCUUCUGUAUCUUUAUUAUUUGCAUCCUUUCCGAUCAUUCAAAGUCGCCUACCCCACACUUCUUUUGCAGUCCCAAAUAUUUAUAAGAAAAGAAGCCUCAAUAAAACAUAAAUUUAAUUCACUGAGAACUCACCAGAAGACUAAGUACUCAAAAUAACAGAAGAUAGCAAGUGCAUCGUGCUAAUGGAGAAUUUGGGAGAAAUUCCUCACCUUUGGAAGACUCCCUGAAAGGGUUGACACGUAAUUCUGAAAGGUGAAUGUGAAUUAUCCAGGUGAGGUGAAUGAAAAGCAACAAAAAAGAAAGAAAACUGGGAUGUUUUUCAGUAAGAAAAAAUAUUUAUAACUUAUGGUUACAUUUAUGGAUUAUAGUCACAUAAAUUAGUUUAGUAAAGAUUUUGUCCUGAUCUUAGAUAUCAACAUUAGAAUGUAUUUGCUGAGCAUUUCUUGUGAAAUGAUGUUUGAAAUUCUAAAGUAUUUGUGGGAAAUUCAGAUAUUCCUAUGUGGCUGUAGUCACUAUAUCAGUUAGAAAUUGCAUUUGGCUGUAGGAGACCUGUACAACAGUGGGUUUAAAGAGGUAGAGAUUUAUUUAUUCCUCUUCCACACAGAGGAAAUGUAGAAGCACAUGGUUCAGGGCUGCUGUGGUAUGGUCAGUUAUCACUGUAAUGGUUAGUUUUAUGUGUCCACUUGACUAGGCCAUGGAGGGCCUAGAUAUUUGGUCAAGUAUUAUUCUGGGUGUGCCUGAGGGUGUUUGUGAUGAGAUUAACAUUUAACCCGGUAGACUGAGUAGAGCAGAUUGUCCUCCCUAAAGUUUCUAGGCCUUUUACAAUCCGUUGAAGGUCUGAAUAGAACCAAAAGGCUAAAUAAGAGAGAAAUACCAUUCAAGAAUUGCCUUCAAGCAGGGACUUCAGUCUUCUCUCUACUUAAACUGAAACAUCAGUUCUUCCUGGGACUUGAGACAGUUGGACUUCACAGUGGAACUGAAGUCCAACAGUUGGCUCUCCUGGGUCCCCAGCUUGCUGAUGGCCCAUCUUGGGACUUGUCAGCCCUCAUAACCUCAUGAGACCAAUUGUUUAUAGUAAGUCUCUCUCUCUCUCUCUCUUUCUCUCUUUAUCCUCUCUUCCUUCCCCUCCCCUUCCCUUCUUCUUCCCUCUCUCUCUCCCUCAUUCUCUCUCUCUCUCUCUCGCUCUCUUUUAAAUGCUGACUUUUAUUGUGGAGCUCCAGCCCUCAAUUUUUUGUUCCAAGCAGCAAGCUGAAGAAAGAUGGGAGGGCUGACAUCCAGCCAAAUCAGCUCACCCUACACCUUCUGCUACAACUUACUGGCCAGCUCUUCGUCAUGUGGCCUCUUUAUCUGAAAAGGAAGCUAGAAAAUGCAGUUUCUCAGUUGGGUGCACUGCCGUUCUUGCACCCAGUAGAAGACAGAGUUCUGCUCAGGAAGAAGUAAAGAUUGUACAUUGUAUAGACAUCUUUCAGUCUUUCUCACAGCAACUAAUGCCGUUUGGCACAUAGUAAACAUUCCAUAAAUAUGAAUUGAAUCAAAAAAUUUAAAUGUUCAUAAAAUUAUCCAUUUUUCAUAGAAUUGUAAAGAAACAAAGUAUUGAGCUCUGAGUUCUAUUACUCUACUCUGUUCAUAAAUUUGUGUAAAAUAUAAAUCCUAAAGAAAUGUUGAAUGACUUUUAAGUGCGGAGAAUUUUUCGAAUUAUGUUAAUGAAUUGUUGUAGAAUAAUCUUCUUAGAGAAUAACUGGUAAAAUUGUAUCAGACAGAUAAUAGUGACAUAAAUAUAUAAAUUAUUUAAAUGUAAAUCAAUUCUUCUAAGUUGUUCUAGCAUAUUUGAAGAGUUACAUAUUUUUAAUAAGUUCAAACAUCCCUCUUUCGUCUUAUGAUAUUAUUCUAAGAAAAAUGUUCUUUAUCGAAAGUAAAACCUAAAUUUCAGCCAGGGCU
Non-coding RNA from Callithrix jacchus (white-tufted-ear marmoset), 2728 nucleotides. NCBI's taxonomy places the organism in Eukaryota, Metazoa, Chordata, Mammalia, Primates, Cebidae. The record is from RefSeq and is a predicted model, not a curated record.